This 262-nucleotide long non-coding RNA is filed under the name Malus domestica (apple). RNAcentral's name for it is "long non-coding RNA (MDOM_LNC014777)". Lineage: Eukaryota; Viridiplantae; Streptophyta; Magnoliopsida; Rosales; Rosaceae. The record is from RNAcentral.
CCAAGCGUUCCAAGAACAAAACUUUAGCAAAACCCAUAAUCCCAAUCGUCUCCAAAGAGAUCCAGGAGAUUCGGGUUGACCAUGUCCGGCCUUGGAUCAGAGGAAGUAGAACUGACGGUAAAGUGGUCGAAAUCUGACUGCAGAAAGUCCUGAAUGAGCCGGAGAUGGCCUUGGCGGUGGCGCACCGCGGGGGAUGGUUUUGGGGUGAUGAGGUCGAUAACUCUGAGAGUGUUUUGUAGCUUGUUGGUUUUUUGGGUUGUUC